RNAcentral lists this unclassified non-coding RNA (263 nucleotides) under Hevea brasiliensis (rubber tree). Lineage: Eukaryota; Viridiplantae; Streptophyta; Magnoliopsida; Malpighiales; Euphorbiaceae. The record is from RNAcentral.
AUUUCAUAUACCUUUCAUGUAAUGAUUUUAUGCAAGCGCAAGUAUAUUAAUAACAGAGGCAAGUUUAAGCAUUUAUAUUUAGUAAAAUUGAAUAUUAAUAUCAAUAUGAUAUGGUUAAUUCCAUCCAAGGUCAUGAAUUUUCAUUUUUUUUUAUCACUUUAAUGCUUAUUAGUUAUUAUUAUGUUUGUUUUAUGUUAUUUGAAGUUUGUUGGAAUAUUCUCAUUUAUUUACUUCUUACGAAUUUUUUUAAUUUUUGCGCCUUA